AAAAGCGUAAAACAAUGGGGUGCAAGCAGUAAAUAGAUGGGGUAUGCAUGAGUAAUUGGUAGUGUCCAGAUCUUGGCCCAUUAAAACAUACAAAAUGACAAAAAAAAAACAAAAAAACAAAAAUAAAUAAACAGAUGUAGUGUAGCAAAGCAAAUGGAGGUGUAAUCCUUAGGGUCUAAGGAUUCAAACCCAAUAAGCAAAAAAUAUAAUAUAAAAAGAAACAUAUCAAACUCUCCUGAACGUAUGAUGAAGAUCAGAUGGUCCCGAUCCAACUUCAGGAUGCAACC
RNAcentral lists this long non-coding RNA (287 nucleotides) under Lathyrus oleraceus (garden pea). Its description in RNAcentral is "Pisum sativum (pea) long non-coding RNA (PSAT_LNC024639)". Lineage: Eukaryota; Viridiplantae; Streptophyta; Magnoliopsida; Fabales; Fabaceae. The record is from RNAcentral.